UGACGGCUAGAAGAGUGGAAUAACAGAUGGUAUCACAGAUUGAGAAAAAAAAAGAGACUGGCAUUCCAGCAGGCUCUUUAUAGACACCACCUUUCCUUCCUUCCUGGAAACGGGUCGUUUCACGGACUCGUUAAUCUCCCUCAUUGCCCGGUUGAUCUCCUUCCAAUGGUUUUUGGUCAGCCGGCAACCAGGCGGAGGCGUCUCCUCGGAGUAUUGGAGAAACGCACCGAUCGUCGAGGCGUAGUGGUUGACCGUGGCGACGGCCUUGUUCUUCUGUAGAGUCUGAAACCAUCUAAAAACACACACACACUGUAACCUACUCAAUGAGUGUAUUGUUAAUGAACGCCGAUGAGACUAAAGAGACUGACAGAUCCUCUGCUCACCUCCUCAUGUUGUCGUGGUUCGUCAGGAAAGUGAGAGCGGAUGGAUAAAACUCAUCCUUCGCCAUGUACGUCAAAAAUUGCUGCACCAUCUUGAGCUUUGCGGCACAAUCUUGCUUCAGUUUAUUGUUUGGAUUGGGGCCUUCACAGGUCUUCCUGAACCCCUCCAUAAACACACCUAACCAAAGAAACAUAACAUUUUGGACUGGGACCUUCAUAGGUCUUCCUGAACCCCUCUAUAAACACACCUAACCAAAGAAACAUAACAUUUUGGAUUGGGGCCUUCACAGAUCUUCCUGAACGCCUCUAUAAACACACCUAAUCAAAGAAAGAUAACAUUUUGGAUUGGGGCCUUCACAUGUCUUCCUGAACCCCUCUAUAAACACACCUAAUCAAAGAAACAUAACAUUUUGGACUGGGACCUUCACAGGUCUUCCUGAACCCCUCUAUAUACACACCUAAUCAAAGAAACAUAACAUUUAGGACUUUAUUAAAACAGAUCUCACAAGGCAACAUAAAUCAGACAGGCUGUUUUUUUCCUAAUUUGAAGACAGAGGAGCAUUUGGUUCUAUUUCCAUCAGAUGAAUGAAAUUUAGAUUUUAAUAGUCCACCUGCACAGUCAGGACAGACAGAACUGUAGGUACGGUGAAAUUGUUAUGGUCUGAGCUCCAACAGGCUAGACGCAGAGGAGGAUGUGAGGGGGUCUGGGGAAGAGUGAAGCAGGCUGGACACAGCGGAGGAUGUGAGGGGGUCUGGGGAAGACUGAAGCAGGCUGGACACAGAGGACGGGUGGGGGUCUGGGGAAGAGUGAAGCAGGCUAGACACAGAGGAGGAUGGGAGGGGGUCUGGGGAAGAGUGAAGCAGGCCAGACGCAGCGGAGGACGGGUGGGGGUCUGGGGAAGAGUGAGGCAGGCUGGACACAGCGGAGGAUGGGUGGGGGUCUGGGGAAGAGUGAAGCAGGCCAGACACAGAGGAGGAUGGGUGGGGGUCUGGGGAAGAGUGAAGCAGGCCAGACACAGAAGAGAACAGGUGGGGUUCUGGGGAAGAGUGAAGCAGGCCAGACACAGCGGAGGAUGGGUGGGGGUCUGGGGAAGAGUGAAGAGUGAAGCAGGCCAGACACAGAGGAGGAUGGGUGGGGUUCUGGGGAAGAGUGAAGCAGGCCAGACACAGCGGAGGAUGGGUGGGGGUCUGGGGAAGAGUGAAGAGUGAAGCAGGCCAGACACAGAGGAGGAUGGGUGGGGGUCUGGGGAAGAGUGAAGCAGGCCAGACACAGAAGAGAACAGUUGGGGUUCUGGGGAAGAGUGAAGCAGGCCAGACACAGCGGAGGACCCUAAAGUUUACAGGACCUUCAGAAAGUAUUCACAGAGCUUGACUUUUUCCACUUAUUGUCGUGUCACAGCUUGAAUUUAACAUUAAUUAAAACUUUAUAUUUUCUUUGUCACUGGUCUUCAUACAAUACCCCAAUAAUGUCAAAGUGGAAUUAAGUUUUUCACUUUUUUUUAAUACAAAUUAAUUAAAAAUGAAAAGCUGAAAUGUGAUGAGUCAAUAAGUUUUCAAACCCUUAUGUUCAGCCUAGGAGUAAAAACGUCGCUUAACAAGUUUAUUUUACCCUUAUUUUACCAGGUAGAAGAUAAGUUGCAUGGACUCACUGUGUUUUAAAAUUAUUUUUGAAUGACUACCUCACCUCAAGUCGAGCAGUGAAUUUCAAACACAGAUUCAACCACAAAGACCAAGGAGGUUUUUCCCAAUGCGUCGCAAAGAAAGGCACCUAUUGGUAGAUGGGUAAAAAACAAAAUGUGAGUACCACUCUCCAUAUUUUCAAGCAUAGUUGUGUCUGCGUCAUGUUAUGGGUAUACUUGUCAUUGUUAAGGACUGGAGAGUUUUUCAGGAUAAAAAAAUAAAUAAAACAGAACGGAGCUAAGCACAGACAAGAAUCCUCGAGGAAAACCUGGUUCAGUCGGCUUUCUACCAGACACUGGGAGAUGAAUUCACCUUUCAGCAGGACAAUAACCUAAAACACAAGGCCAAAUAUACACUGGGAGAUGAAUUCACCUUUCAGCAGGACAAUAACCUAAAACACAAGGCCAAAUCUACACUGGAGUUGCUUACCAAGAAGACAGUGAAUGUUCCUGAGUGGGCCGAGUUACAGUUUUGACUUAAAUCUACGGCAAGACCUGAAAAUGGUUGUCUAGCAAUGAUCAACAAAAAAUUUGACAAAACUUGACGAAUUUUGAAAAAGAAUAAUGGGUAAAAUGUUGUACAAUCUAAGUGUGAAAAACUCUUAGAGACUUACCCAGAAAGACUCACAGCUGUAAUCGCUCUUAGAGACUUACCCAGAAAGACUCACGGCUGUAAUCGCUCUUAGAGACUUACCCAGAAAGACUCACAGCUGUAAUCGCUCUUAGAGACUUACCCAGAAAGACUCACAGCUGUAAUCGCUGCCAAAAGGUGAUUUUAAUAUGUAUUUACUCAGGGGUGUGAAUACUUACGUAAAUGAAAUAUUUCU
Molecule: long non-coding RNA, 2886 nt
Filed under: Salmo salar (Atlantic salmon)
Lineage: Eukaryota; Metazoa; Chordata; Actinopteri; Salmoniformes; Salmonidae
Description: lncRNA (ENSSSAG00000105166.1)
Source: RNAcentral